AUGUACAGCACAGCGGCCACGCACGUAGUCAAGGCGUUUCAUCAGACUUCAGACCCAGUUGUUGGGCAGCGAGAAGUUGUGGAACCUGAAGGAGGCGUCCCCGGCGGUGUCCCUCCCCUGGACCAUCCCGGGCUCGUCGUCCGCCUGCGGCGGCUGGUCGACCCACGAGAAGGAGUUCUGCCGCAGCAGCUCGGCGAACGCCGGGGACGGCUGCGGCGUCGGGCACGGCGCCCCCUGCGGCCGGUUCGGCGCGUCGGUGCCCAAGUCCCACAUGAGGACGUGGAGCAGGAUGGGGCGCAGGGCGUGCCGGUGCAGGGACAGCUUCUGGCUCAGCGACACGGUGUCGAAGCACCGGAUGGCCCCGGAGGUGGACACCAUCCACGGCAGCACCUUGCGGCACGACACCCGGGAGAUGACCAGCAGCUUGGACGCGCGCUUCGCCUCCCGGUAGAGGUCGCGCAGCCCCGACCGCGUCGACGGCGCCGGCCGGCUGCCGUCGUCCUCCAUGACCGACGAGAUGUAGAGGAAACCCUGCACCCCAUUCCCAUUUCCAAGAGCGGAUCAGUUCAAACGUGCACUAGAGCUAGAACUGGAGAAGUACGGGGACAGACAUUCCUCCGGCAUUGGUACCUCUUCGGUGCGGCUGAUGGCGAAGCCGAGUUUGGUGUCGCCCUCCUCGAGGGUGAUCUCCACGGGCAUUUCUCCGGCGGCCGCGGUGAACCAGAGGCGCACCGCCUUCACCACGCCGAUGUCCACGCCGUGGUAGUCCUCGAACCCGUACAGGCUCGCGUUGGCGAGGUUCGGGAGGUCGGCCAGCGACCCGGAGUUGACCGUCGCCGAGGCCAUGUCGCCGGAGAUCUGCACCAUGCAUGCAAUGCAAGAACGUCAGAGAAACACCAAAACAUCCCCCACACAAUCAUUCUGAUGGCAAAAUAUAGUAUAAGGAACCUUGGUGAGGAGGGCCUCGGUCUGGACGUUGAGGAAGGCGAUGGGCACGCCGGCGGCCUGCGAGGCGAGGAACCAGGCGUUGGCGCGGGCCAGCGUGUCGUCGACGGAGUUGUAGCGGGAGUUGGCGCGGUCGAGCGCGGUGGGGAGGACGAGCAGGGAGAGGAAGCUGCUGGCGCUGGGCACCGGCAGCACCUCCUUCAUCUUCUUCUCCCACGGGUAGGACACGUAGCCGUCCUGCAGUUGCGCCUUGCUCAGCGCGCACACCACCCGAGAGCUCCUCGACCCUGCAUGCAUGCAUGCACACCACCGCCAUCGUGA
RNAcentral lists this ribosomal RNA (1266 nucleotides) under Triticum aestivum (bread wheat). RNAcentral's name for it is "partial small subunit ribosomal RNA". Lineage: Eukaryota; Viridiplantae; Streptophyta; Magnoliopsida; Poales; Poaceae. The record is from RNAcentral.